Long non-coding RNA from Ochotona princeps (American pika), 1440 nucleotides. RefSeq lists it as uncharacterized. The transcript is spliced from 3 exons. Lineage: Eukaryota; Metazoa; Chordata; Mammalia; Lagomorpha; Ochotonidae. The record is from RefSeq and is a predicted model, not a curated record.
AAAAAAAAAAACCAACAGAAAUGAGCUGUGGCUGUAAUUCUGGACUUGUCUGUGGUGGAAAGAGUUAAGGGGGUGGUGGUCCCAGGGCAAGGACCACUUCCCCUUGCUGAGGGAAGCCCCUGGGUCUCAAGAGAAGAUGAUGCAACAUUUAGCAGGGAGCAGCCCUGUCUGGGCUCUGGGGGCUGCCACUGUAAGAGUUAAGUGAGUGUUGUGGCUGGGAAGCCCUCAGGGAAGGACCUGGUCUGGAGGGAUGGGGACCUGCCAGCCCUAGGGCAGUGAGGUGUGGGGGACAGGGGGUUGAGGAGUGUGGCUGUGGAGGCAGAGUAUGGACCCAACUUUUUUUUUUUUUUUUUGCCUUGUUUGACCAGCCUUGGCACUGCCCUCCGGCUCUCCAGGGGAAAAGCUGCAGUUCUGCUCUUGCAACACAAGGAGCAGACUGGAGAAUUUAGAUCUGCGUCACAGAGCUCAGAGAGAGAGAGAGCAAGCGAGCGAGCGAGCAAGCUCCGUGGAUAGGUCUGCUAGCAACAGCCGUGCUGCAGCAGGGAGAGAGAGAAAUGAAGAAACAAGUCAUAGCAACACCGGGCACCAGGUUCUGCCAGAUCACUUGCCAAGCGUUCAGAAAUCUGUCGGGGGCCAGAGGCCUCUGGGUAGCCUUGGCUAAGGCGAUGACACGCAAGGUGGCACGGGCGGUUCCCGCAGGGAGGAGGUGGGGGGGUAGGGGUGGGAGCAAGAGGUUGCGGGGCGACGGUGGAAGGUUGAACAAGACCAAAUUCUGGAACAUUCGGGACUGCGGCACCUUACGGCCAGACCAAGAUUUGGGUCUGCGCAGGCAGUGAUGGGUGGUCCGACAGGCUUCAGGACUUGAUGGCGUCACCCCCUUCGUUCCCCCAUAGCAGUUAGGAGAGUGCAGUUCACUGCGUGAGUGGGUGACAACCUCUUGGCAGCUCAGGCUCGGCUGCGGUGGUGCCAGCGUGCCGAAGAGAAGCCGCCAUGCUGCCGGAUGGAGCGACUCACUUGCAUUUAUUUGGAAUAGAGAAAGGAGCCUCCUGGCAACCCCACUCUGCAACUUCUUGACACUCUCAUGAGACCUGGUCUGCACUCCUUGACUGGGAAGAAGCCAGCCACACCAUGCGUGUUCCCCAAGAGGGUCCCUUCAUUUUGGAAGUUUCCAGAACAUCUGACCAUGCUUCGGCUGAGUACCAUCACUGAAAGGUACAUCCUCACUGUGGGAUUGUCAGGGUGUUUCUGACAGAUGGGUGAGGGCUGCCCGGAGCUUUGCUCAGCAUGUGUGGUGUGGUGUGGUGUGUUACCUGUUGGCAGGCUCAUGUGCAGCACCUGCUGCAGGUAUUGGCUAAGGUUCAGUGCAGCAUCAGAUACUAGAAACACCAGCUUCAGUGCCGAUGGUAGACCUCACCACGAGAGUGAAGGAGGCUGAGAGGG